GAUGAACGCUAGCGGCAGGCCUAAUACAUGCAAGUCGAACGGUUCAUGGUUUUCGGAUCAUGGAUAGUGGCGCACGGGUGCGUAACGCGUACACAACAUACCCUUUACUGGGGGAUAGCGGUGGGAAACUGCCAGUAAUACCCCAUGUCCUCGCGAGGUGGCAUUAUUUUGCGAGGAAAGUUACGGCGGUAAAGGAUUGGUGUGCGUCCGAUUAGCUAGUUGGCGGGGUAACGGCCCACCAAGGCGACGAUCGGUAGGGGGUGUGAGAGCAUGGCCCCCCACACGGGUACUGAGACACGGACCCGACUCCUACGGGAGGCAGCAGUAAGGAAUAUUGGACAAUGGUCGGAAGACUGAUCCAGCCAUGCCGCGUGAAGGAAGAAGGCGCUCAGCGUUGUAAACUUCUUUUGGAUGGGAAUAAUAACCUCUACGUGAUAGGGGCUUGAAGGUACCAUCAGAAUAAGCACCGGCUAACUCCGUG
This 481-nucleotide ribosomal RNA is filed under the name uncultured bacterium. RNAcentral's name for it is "bacterial SSU rRNA". It matches the Rfam family "Bacterial small subunit ribosomal RNA", at positions 28 to 507 of the family's 1533-position model. RNAcentral also lists the same sequence under 1 other name. The record is from RNAcentral.